Long non-coding RNA from Mus musculus (house mouse), 6507 nucleotides. RefSeq annotates it as predicted gene, 39383. The transcript has 6 exons. The record is from RefSeq and is a predicted model, not a curated record. Lineage: Eukaryota; Metazoa; Chordata; Mammalia; Rodentia; Muridae.
UUCUCACUACUUCAAAAACACAAGCAGCCCUCUGUGGUGGCAUAUACCUUUAAUCUCAGCACCCCAGAGGAAGAAUCAGGAGGAUUUGGGGUUAUAAAUGAGUCCUGGCUACAGAGUAAGUUUGUGUGCAGCCUGACCUAGAUAGUAAGAUCUUGUCUCUAAACAGUAACUAACCCAUCAAACAACAACAAUAACAAAAUACCCACAAAAUAAAAGGGGAUAGUAAUAUUUGAUGUUCUAUUUUUGAUUUAUAUAUAGUUUGUAAACAUUUUGAAAGUGGCUUAAUUAUAGUCUGAAGAAGGAUGAAAAUGUCAGCAAGCUGUGUAACAGUUUCCUCUGAGAUUGAAACUUUCCACCUUGCAGGUAAACUCUUUAAACCGGAAGAUAAACAACUCAAAAUAGUUUCAGGAAGUCCCUGAAAUAGAGCAGAUUGACUAGGCCCCUCCCUGCCAGAGUAAGCAAUAAAAGCCAAGAGUCCCCCUCAAAGGAGCAAAGCCAACCUGCAAAGAAGAAUCUCAACAUAGUCAAGCUGCAAAGAAGACUUUGUCACAGACCUCUUGCCUGGUAGAAGCAGAAACCCAUCAAACUGCCUGGAAGAGGUUUGGAGCAACUGAGGUUCCUGGAAAGGGCACACUCCAACUGUUGGCUGACUGGAAGUUGUGACAUGUUCCAGUUCCCUGCUUUGUGAGCUGCCACCCAUAAUAGGGUGGGCUUUGGUGAUGCAGCUGUCUUCGAGUCACUUCUGUUCCUGUAAAUAACCAUCACCCAUAUUCCUCGUUGCUUUUAGGAGCCUUGCUGACCCAGGCUGCAACAUCACUGAAAAGUUCCACCCCAACAUGAUUUACAACUCUGAAUGCCUGCGUCACUAGAGUCCCCUGCACAGUACCGGGCAGUCAGCUACACCACUCAAUGGAAGAGUCCUCUCCUCCAUUGCUGGUCCCUGAUCACAUGGCUUAAAGUCACAUCACCACACCUUCCAUCCCUAUGUAACACUAUCAACCCGGAAAGGAAAAAUCCAAAGUCUGCUCAAACCUAAAUCUCUGUCGACUCCUCAGCUGCGCCUGAGCAGUGAAAUGCCGAUGUAUGCCCAAGCUGACUGCUUGCUUGCUAUGAUCUACGGCUUCGGUGGUUUUAGCCUAACUGUGCGAUGCUACUGUCAUUUCCUAAUAGCUAAUAGUGACCUUUGUUUCCUACGCCAACCAAAGGUGAAUUCCACAUCUCUGGUCACAUCUGCCAAACUACUGAAAACUGAGCCUUCAAGCUUCUGACCGCAAAGGAUGACUUAUCGGAUAUAUGUGGAAGACACAUUCUGUCUGAGCUCUGCAUGCCUCUUCCUUGUCUAACUGGUUCUUCUUGAAUAUCAUUGCAUGGAGACGCCCCCAUGAGCAUUCUUCAACUUCCAGGGCAACUUCAAGUGAUCCAUAUUAUGCUUGGAAGAAAGAUGGUGUCCUCAGGGUCUGUGGUACCCAGAGCUCACUAAUGUCUAAAGGAGGAACUAGAACUGGCUGGGGCCUCGCAGGUCCUAUAUUCUACCUCCAGAGAUUCUGACCUAUUCAACAAUCACAUGCUGAUGUUCAGAAAGCUGGCCAGACUUCAGAAUCAAGAAUCCUGAUCAUAACUUGACAAAAACACUUAGGAGUAUGGAACCUAUCAAGCAAAACUCUCCAGGCAAUGAGACACGUGAAAGCUUUUAUUUUAUAUAUUUUUCAACCCCAUGUUUAAGAUAACUGUUUCAUUUGAGCUGGACAAACAUCUAUGGUCGGGAGCACCAGUGUUUUGCUCCCGUGCUCUCCCUGAGAAAUGGAGACUGGCGGAGGCUUCUCAAGCAAUACAAUGUGAAAGUGCCAUGUCAGGUGUCCAAGGACAAUCUUUGUGUUUCCUAAAACUAAAAAUCUAACUCCGUAUGAAAAACUAAAAUACAUAUGGAAUUACAAGGAAAAGCUAAAAAAUCAAAAUGCCUGAAUAUCUAGAGCAAUUCUUAGCUAAAAGAACAAAGGGGGAGAUAUGCUACCUGACACCUAGGGUCUAAUUCUGUUGACAUCAGUGGUAGCAUGCUCGGCUGUGCAUUUGGUCCUAAGUAUUGUGAAAAAGAAUUUAUGUAUAUAGAAUACAUGGAUGUAAAUAUAUACAGAGAAAUAUAUAUAUAUACAUACACUCAUACAUACAUAGAACUACAGUAAUGAAAGCAGCAGGAGAUUAGCAUAAAAACAGCCAUAUGGAGCAAUGGAACAGAAUAUAGAUCCUAGAAGAAAACUCCCUCAUCCAAAACCAGGUGAUUUUUGAGGAAGAUGCCAAGAACAUAUGCAGAGGAAAGAGCAACCUCUUCAGUAAAAAGCACUGAAUAACUUGGAUUUCCUUAGGAAGAAUGAAGUUAGACCCCUAUCAUUUCUCACAAAGAUCAACUAAGAAUAGAUAGGACUUAAACAUAGGAUUCAGGUUAUAAAACUGCUAGAAGGGAACACAGGGAAAAUGAUCAUGACUCUGAAAUGGUAUUUUCUUCUUUUGAUAAAACUUCAAAAUGUGCUGGAAACAAAAGCAAAAAUAGAUAAUUGGGAUUAUGUCAAACAACAAAAAAGUUCCCUAUGUAGCAAGAGAGAUGACGAACUGAAUGAAGAGACACCCUACCGGAUGAGUGAAAACAUUUGCAAACUGUUCAUUUGAGAAGAGCUAAUACCCAGAACACAAGAGCAAUGGAAACAAGUCAAUGGUGUGUGUUCCCCCAUCCCCCCAGGCCAGAUUUCAAAAUGGUGAGCAGACUGUCCUAGCCAUACAUCUGUUGCUGUGACAAAAUACCACAACCAAGGUAACUCUUAAAAGAAAACGUUUAAUUAGGGCUUUCUUAUAGUUUCAGAGGUUUAAUCUGUUUAUAAUCACAGGGGGCGGGGCAGAGCACAGCAGCUUGCAGGCAGGUGCUGGAGCUAAACUGUAGUUUAGUUCAGCUGUAGCUGAGAACGAAACCCUGAUCCACAGACAGGAAGAGAGAAAAGCCCUGGCAAGGGCUUUUCAAACCUCAAGGGUCAACCCAACAACACCCUUCCUCUAACAAGGCCACACGUUCUAAUCAUUUUCAGUGUCACUCCCUGCUAACUAAGUAUUUAAAUACAGAAGCCUAUGGGGACAUUCUUAUUCAAGUUUUCACACAGACCUAAAGACACACUUGUCAAAAGAAGACAUGCAAAUAACCAUCAGAACUUGAAAAUAUGCCCAUUGUGUGAAUCUAAGGGAAAUGCUUACCCAGACCACAAUGGGGUGUCUCACCUCCUCUCAGAAGGACUAUUAAAAAAAAAAAAACCCCUAAGGAAAAUGAGUACUUGCAAGGAUAUGGAGAAAGGAAAUACACACUGGUGUUGGUAAUGUGACACAGAUAUUAUAAAGAAGGUACAGAGGUGCCUCAAAAAAAAAUUACAGCUAGAACUACAGUUAACCCAUCAAUUAUAUUACUGUAUAUACACUUCUGAGAAAUGAAACAAUUUUGCCAAAGAUAUAUCUGGGCUUUCCUGUCCAUUGUAGCACUAUUCAGUUAUUUAUUUAUUUAUUGUAGGCUUUUUGUUUUUUUGUUUUUUUGUUUUUAAAGACAAGGUCUCUGGCUCUGGUUGGCUGGGAACUCACAGGUGUCUGCCUGCCUCUGCCCCCUGAAUGCUGCCAUCAGAAGUGCACACCAUCACAACUGGCUGUAGCACUAUUCAGAAUGACUAAGACAUGAAGAACUUAAGUCCCUUCACCUGAUGAAUGGACAAGGAAUAUACAGUAUACACACACUGUGGAGUAUACAGUAUACACACACUGUGGAGUAUACAGUAUACACACACUGUGGAGUAGUAUACAGCGGUAAAAGAAUAAAACCUUGUUAUCUGCAACAAUGUGGGAGAAGUUGUGCAAGUCACAAUGUUAAGUGAAAGACUCCAGGUACAGAAAAAGAAAAAAAAUCCUAUUUUCUCUCUUAUAUAAGGAAGCUAGAUAGACAUAUGGACAUUAGUAAAGAGGUGGUUACCAGAGGCUGGGGAGAGGAGAAGAGAGGGAAGGGUGUGGAAGGACUUAGUACAGGUAGGUACUAAGUUAUGCUUAAUUAAAAUAGAUACUUUCUGCUGUUCUGGUGCACAGUGGAAAAAGGAUAGGUAGUGGUGAUGCCAAUAUAUUUCGAGUUUUUUGUUUUGUUUUGUUUAAUGGUUUCAACACAAAGGUAUUAAAAGGGUGAGGGCAAUAAGGUGGCUUAUCAGGUAAGGGCACUUCCAGCAGCCCUGAAGACUUGAAUUUGAUCCCCAGGGCCCACACAGUGGAAGGAGGGAGCCACACAGGUUAUAUUCUGAUCUCAUUCACACACAAGCCCUAGCCUUCUGUGUGGCCACAAAAUAAGUAAACAGGUAUAAUGAAAAGUUUUGAAGUAAUUUUAUUUCCGAUUAAAAGUGAGGCUAACACAAUGGAAGAGACAUUGUAGCUCCCAGCUACAGCAUCUCAAUAGCAUCAUUGACUCUGGUGACUGGAUUGUACUCCAGGGCUGCUAUAGAACCUUCCUACAGUGAUAACAGAAAGGCCGAUCACUUGAAACACCCCUCCCCUCCCCAAUCCCAGUGAUUACUGUGUGGAAGCCCCAGUGGAACACUCUGCUUCUCACAGCAACCUUGAGGCAGAAGUUGACUCUCCCACUUUCCUGAUGUGCCCUAAGCUGUACUUCCUAGUGUCUCUCAGAGAGACCUUGCCACUGUCUGUAACUUAGCUGGUGACUCCGUGCUCCUCUCUCUGGAAGAGGAGGUCUGGUGCAUUUGUCAUUUGCGCUCUCAUUUUGAAGUUCUUACCGCUGGAUAAUCUGCAUUGAUACACCAAGAUCUGUGUUAGAUUUAAAGAUAUUUUGGUUUUCUUCAUUGUAGAGGAAACCAAAGCACAGAAUAAGUUACAACGUACUCAGUAUGGGGAUCAUAUUAUUGGGUGAAAACUCUAAUUUCUUUAUUAAAAAAUUGUGUGUGUGUGUGCUACAGUACAUAUGUGGCGGUCAGGGGACAACUUUGUAGAGUUAAUUCUUUCUUUUAGGGACUGAGCUAAGGUAGUGAAGAUUUCUUGGCAAGUACCUUCACCUGAGCCUUCUCAAUAGCCCACUUUUUUUUUCUUUUCUUUUUUCUUUUUCUUUUUUUCUUUCUUUCUUUCUUUCUUUCUUUCUUUCUUUCUUUCUUUCUUUCUUUCUUUCUUUUUUUUUUUUUGAGACAGGUUUUUCUAUCUAGCUCUAUCUGUCCUGGACCCUUCUCUUUAGACCAGACUGGACUUGAACUCACAGAGAUCCACCCACCUCUGCUUCCCAGCAUCAUUAUCACCACCCAGCUGUCCAUGAAUUUCUUACUGCAACAUUCACUAGCAUCAAUAUCAUAGUCACACUUAAAUAAACCCCUUUAUAUUUUAGAGUCUUUCAGUACUAAUUUCACAGGAAGGACAAAGGAUGUCCACAGGCCACCAUGAUCACAUGUGAACACCUCCCAACUAUCGACACUCUGCCCGAGUGGCACCUUUUGUGAACGUGCUGUGACACAUCCUUAUCAGUCAAAGCCCACAGUUCACAUCUGGGAGUCAGACUCCAUGUUGUCCAUUCUGCAGGUUUGGACAAAGUCUCUCAUGACAUGAACACAGCCCUGUGUGUUAUAUAGAGUAGUUUCACUGUCUUAAAAUUUCAUCUAACUCUUCCCACCCACCCCUUCACUAAUCCCAGGCAGCCACUGAUCUUUUAAUGUCAACACAUUUUUUUCAUAAUGUCACAUGGUUGUAAACAAACUGUGCAGCUCUUUCAGAUGUCUGCUCUCUUCUUACUCAUGUGCAUCCAAAGCUCUGUGCCCCUUCAUGGCUCAGUGGCUUUUUGGAGAGGGGCAGGGGUACUAUAUAUUUCUCAGGAUAUACCAGAGUAUAACCAUUUGCCUAUUGAAAUACAGUUUGAUCACUUGAAAACUUUGGCAUUUACAAACAAAGCUGCUUUAAACAUCUGUGUGGAUUUGGGUGGAAAUGGUUUUCAGUUCCUUUGAGUGAAUGUGGAAGAACACACUUGUUUGUAUGGAAGGAGUAUUUUUAGUGUUGUGAGAAAUAUCCAGACUGGCUUCCAAAGUAUGGGGCCCAUUCUUGAGCCAUGCUGAAAUGGUGUUUUGUUGUUGUUUCAUUUUUGUUUUUGUCAUUGAAAUCUAUCUGUUCAUUUUUAAUUAUGCAGAAAACAACUGGCUUUUGCAUAUUAGCCUUGAAUUUUGUAACUCUUCCACGGACAUUUAAUAGCUUCAUGAGGUUUUCUUUUGAUGAAUUUUUAAACUUCUCUGAACUUUUGUUUUUAUUUUAGCCAGUCUGCUGGUGAUUCCUAAAUGAUUAGAUGCUCACUGUCAGGAUCUUAAUUUAACUAUUAAAACAGGUUUGCUACUAAACAGAUGCCUGUGUGGUUUGAAUGUGAAUGCUCCCUAUACAGGACUGUCCAACUGUGAAACAGUGGUCUCUAAAGUUCACAUUCAAGACCCUUAUAAGGAUUACUAAAAAAAAAAAAAAAAAAAA